GCACAUGUAUAUAAAAUUUUAAAAUAACAAUAAUAUUAUUAGCGGAGCGGAUUUGGUGCAGGUGUGAGGUGGAUAUCAACAUCCUCAAAUCCGUUCUCACCCUCCGAGUUUUAUUUUCAGGGAAAAUCUGCACCAAAUUAAAACGGGUUUUCUCCACUCAAACCGGGAUGGGUUUGGGUGGAAACCCGCGAGUGCGAAUUUUGUUGUCAUCACUACACUUAAGGAAGAUAUUGUUGAGUUAAAAUGUGAGUGAUUAAUCUCAUAAUAACUAUGAAUGAAAUAAAUAUUAGAUAUAUAAGAUAUGUGACUCAUUUACAUGAUGUCUUAAGGUGUGAGUCAAAAUCUCUUAUAAUGUUAUAUAACAUUGGUAUGUUGUUACUCCCAAUACUCCCCAUAACACCUCAACACUAAGAAUAUACAAAAUUUUAUAUUACAUACCAAUUUAAAUAAUUCUUUUAUUUUUCUUUUAACCCUUCUUUUUCAAGUUUUGUAAUGAGCUAUAAAAAGGAAAAGAAUCGUGUUCAUGAGGUUUAUAAUCUAAACAAUAAUUUUUUCACCAAAUGAUAUCAUAGAUAUAAUAUUAAAAUAACUUGAUGAGUGAACUUUGAAUACAAGACAUUCUCUAUCUCACGUGAGCUAAUUUUAUGAUUCGAUGAAGGAUUUUAAGUAUAACACUAGAUAUAAAUUAUAA
RNAcentral lists this long non-coding RNA (691 nucleotides) under Cicer arietinum (chickpea). RNAcentral describes it as "long non-coding RNA (CARI_LNC001212)". The record is from RNAcentral. Lineage: Eukaryota; Viridiplantae; Streptophyta; Magnoliopsida; Fabales; Fabaceae.